This 308-nucleotide unclassified non-coding RNA is filed under the name Hevea brasiliensis (rubber tree). The record is from RNAcentral. Lineage: Eukaryota; Viridiplantae; Streptophyta; Magnoliopsida; Malpighiales; Euphorbiaceae.
GAUGUUGUGAUUAUUACUUGGUUUUGAGAGCCAGGAGGGGCCACAUAAUGAUGAUGAGAUAUGGAUUGAGUUUAGAAGUGUUAUUUGAAUCAUUUUGUAGGUUGAGUAGGUGAUAGUGAAAACUCUGUCGGAUUUUCGGCAUUUACGGCAUGAAUUAGACUGUCUGUUGUCUCUUUAGAGUCUUAUUUCGAAUUAGUACUAAUAAAUUUAUAAUAUAAUUAAUUGGAUGAUCGAGGUCAGCUAUUUUUCCUCCAUACAGUAGCCACAAUAGUCUCUGGUGUACAGUGAGUAUAUAUUUAUUUUAUUUA